CUCUACCCUAAAUAAAUAACAAACAAGAUCUUGAUCACGCAAGAUAAUUAGUACUAUGAAGUUUUAUGGGACUAACUUGUAAAGAAGGAUUAUCAAUCAUAUUACUCAUCUUGGUCUCUGAAAAUUCCCCUUUUCCUUUGAAAAUUUUUAAUAUCAAACCAACAACUAAAUGGCAAGGAAAAAAAUUUGAAACAAAAAAGAGCAAAAAGAGG
This 212-nucleotide unclassified non-coding RNA is filed under the name Hevea brasiliensis (rubber tree). Lineage: Eukaryota; Viridiplantae; Streptophyta; Magnoliopsida; Malpighiales; Euphorbiaceae. The record is from RNAcentral.